AUCUACAAAUAUAUAUAGCCUAUGAGAUACAUAGUGACAAAGCAAACCAUUAUUCAUGCAGAUACAUCACUUAUUAUGUAUUAUUGUUCUAUUUUUUACAUGAAUUGGUUUUUUGUCUUUUUGUGAGCCAACAAAGGUCUUUCAAUUAAAUGUCUUAGUUAAACAUUAUAUAUGUGGCUUUUGUAAUACUGGAAAUGUAAAAAAAAAAACUAUUUAUUUGGUUUAUUAUCACCACAUGCUGAGAAAUAAAUUUUAGAAAAUGUAUUUAUUUAUUUAUUUAUUUAUUUUAGAUCCUCUUUGUUUCAGCUGGACCACUCUUAUUUCUGUUUUAUUCCAAUUUCAGGUUUAUUUGCUUCAUUUCCAGUUUUAAGUUUGUAAAAAAUAUAAGCUCUUGUUCAGGUCAGCUUUCUGUGCUUCACACCUGGACUCUCUUACUGAUUGACUCUCAUCUGUUGCUUAUUUGACAUCAGUCCUUGUGUGCAGAACAGGUCAGCUGAAUGGACUGAAGAAGGAUGGUACUGGGUUUAUCGCAGGGACAAAGACAACAAGCAACGGUUCAUUUAAAAUGAAUAUAAAUGUCUGAUGACUCCACUGUGUCUUGCUAUUUGGAUUCUCUUCACCCACAGCCUAUUGAGUCAAAAUGAAGUGUGGUGCACCGGUAUGAAAAGCACAAAACUAAAACCUUUACUUAAAUAUAAGUAUUGGGAGGAGUUUUGAAAAUGUCAUGUUGAUAAUAAACUUAAUGUGGAGGUACAUCAGAGAGACCACCAUCCAAACACACUCAUAGCUAAGGGCAAUUCAGAGUAACCAAUUAACCUAACAGUCAUGCUUUUGGACUGUGGGAGAAAGCCGGAGUACCCAGAGAGAACCCAGCGCAUGCAAGAGGAGAAUAUGCAAACCCUAUAAGGACAACCCCAGGCCGGGAUUUGAACCUGAACCUUCCUGCUUUGAGGCAACAGUGCUAACAACUGCCUGCAGCGCCAAUAAUAAAUGUGAUGAUGAUAAUGAUAUUAAUAAUAAUAUGAUGAUGGCGAUAAUGAAUAUGACUACAACACGGUGAUGAUUAAAAUAAAGCUGUUGAUUUUAAAAGUAUGGCUAAUAAUGAGGAAGAUGAUGGAGUUAUGUUGGUAUUGGUUGAAGUUGUGUUUCCCGAGGCCGUUUCAGUAAUUUAUUAGAUGAACUUAUCGCCACAUAAACUGUCACACAGUACAGUGGAUGGAGAGCUCCACACUGAGUCAUUUACCAUCAUUACUAAUGAUGGACACAAUUGCUCGUUUAUCACAAGAAAUGGUACAGUAUGCUUCUGAGAUGACCAAAGCCUCUCGGUCUUAGUCACACACU
Molecule: long non-coding RNA, 1341 nt
Organism: Girardinichthys multiradiatus
Lineage: Eukaryota; Metazoa; Chordata; Actinopteri; Cyprinodontiformes; Goodeidae
Exons: 2
Source: RefSeq, a predicted model, not a curated record